RNAcentral lists this ribosomal RNA (923 nucleotides) under Nematoda environmental sample. RNAcentral's name for it is "SSU rRNA". It matches the Rfam family "Eukaryotic small subunit ribosomal RNA", at positions 88 to 1020 of the family's 1831-position model. The record is from RNAcentral. Lineage: Eukaryota; Metazoa; Nematoda.
CGCGAAUAGCUCAUUACAACAGCCUUAGUUUAUUGGAUCUUAGAGUCCUACUUGGAUAACUGUGGUAAUUCUAGAGCUAAUACACGCAAUUAAUCCUCAACCUUACGGGCGAGGAGCAUUUAUUAGAACAAAACCAAUCGGCUUCGGCCGUAUCUGGUGAAUCUGAAUAACUACGCUGAUCGCAUGGUCUCGUACCGGCGACAUAUCCUUCAAGUGUCUGCCUUAUCAACUGUCGAUGGUAGUUUACACGCCUACCAUGAUUGUAACGGGUAACGGAGAAUAAGGGUUCGACUCCGGAGAGGGAGCCUGAGAAACGGCUACCACAUCCAAGGAAGGCAGCAGGCGCGCAAAUUACCCACUCUCAGAACGAGGAGGUAGUGACGAAAAAUAACGAGACAGUUCUCUAUGAGGUCUGUCAUCGGAAUGGGUACAAUUUAAACCCUUUAACGAGGAUCUAUUGGAGGGCAAGUCUGGUGCCAGCAGCCGCGGUAAUUCCAGCUCCAAUAGCGUAUAUUAAAGUUGUUGCGGUUAAAAAGCUCGUAGUUGGAUCUGCGGUCGUAGACUCUGGUUCCCUCCUAGGGAUACUAGCUGUCUCGACCUACCUUGUUAGAUUUCCCUUGGUGCUCUUUACUGAGUGCCUUGGGUGUCUAGCUCGUUUACUUUGAAAAAAUUAGAGUGCUUAAAGCAGGCAUUUGCCUGAAUAGUGGUGCAUGGAAUAAUGGAAUAGGACCUCGGUUCUAUUUUGUUGGUUUUCGGAGCAUGAGGUAAUGAUUAAGUGGGACAGACGGGGGCAUUCGUACUGCUACGUUAGAGGUGAAAUUCUUGGAUCGUAGCAUGACGAACAACUGCGAAAGCAUUUGCCAAGAAUGUUUUCAUUAAUCAAGAACGAAAGUUAGAGGUUCGAAGGCGAUCAGAUCCCGCCC